Molecule: ribosomal RNA, 234 nt
Filed under: uncultured bacterium
Lineage: Bacteria
Description: partial 16S ribosomal RNA
Rfam family: Bacterial small subunit ribosomal RNA
Source: RNAcentral
GGCGGACGGGUGAGUAAUGUAUAGGAACUUGCCUAGUAGUGGGGGACAACGCGCGGAAACGCACGCUAAUACCGCAUACGCCCUACGGAGGAAAGCGGGGGCUCUUCGGACCUCGUGCUACUAGAUAGGCCUAUAUUGGAUUAGCUAGUUGGUAAGGUAAAGGCUUACCAAGGCGACGAUCCAUAGCUGGUUUGAGAGAAUGAUCAGCCACACUGGGACUGAGACACGGCCCAG